This 513-nucleotide ribosomal RNA is filed under the name Triticum aestivum (bread wheat). RNAcentral's name for it is "partial small subunit ribosomal RNA". Lineage: Eukaryota; Viridiplantae; Streptophyta; Magnoliopsida; Poales; Poaceae. The record is from RNAcentral.
AUGCCCGCUCUUGUGGACGGUUAUGUAGAGGAAGCCAGCGAGGGUCUGGGGCAGCUUCAUGCGGUUGGCGGGGUCGGCGAUGAGGUCGCGCCAGGGCACGGAAACGCACUUGAAGCGGUGCACAGAGCUGGCCGGGAGGCGGGAGAGGAUCUCCAGGAUGAGAUCAUCGGUGAAGAGGCUGGCCGCCGUCGGCCCCGGAUGGUCGUCCAGCCUCGGCUUGGUGUUCCGCUCGAGGAUGUCCCCCUUCUCCGCCUCCUCCAUGGAGCAGAAUCUGGAGUGCUUCGUAGGAAGGCCAGUGGACAGGGGUCAGGCGAGCUCAGGUCGAUAUGCACACGGGAUGGUGAAAAAUCAUCGAUCUGCAGAUGGGGAGAGGAAGAUCUGUCGGUGCUGCGUUGUGGGUACCUGGACGUACGGGUCGAUCUGCCGAUGGAGAAAGAGGAGAUCGUCGAUCUGCCUAAGGAAAAUCGAUACGCCGGUGGUGGGUACCACCUCGACGACGACGGCAACGGUUAA